UCUUAUCUUCUUAACUUCUUAUGUCUUUCGAGUUCUACUGUCGCAUACAAAGAAAUUUUUUUUUACGUUAGCUUUUUUAAAUAUUAUUAUAAAUAUCCGACAAAAGAACUCCAGCAUGACAGUAGAACUCCACUACGCGACAAAAGAACUCCAAUAACUUCUUGAAUAAAUUCUUUAAUUAUUUUCAUGUCCGACAGUAGAACUCUAUUGAAUUUUAAAUAUCUCAAAUGUCCGACAAUCCAUCCAUCCUUGAUUCCUUUCCGUACAGUCAAACGUGGUAAUCGUGGAGGAAUCUUUUGGCUCCGUCAGUAGGUGGCUAAAAUCAAGUUGUCCCCCAGCCGCCAGAUGACGCGGGUGUAUUUAAGAGGACGAAAUUUUCGCCAUAUUGAUCCGAAACGCCAAGUGAAAAGGUAUUCCAAAUUCGUUACGGAAUUGCGGUGUCGAUCUACAUUUUCAGAAUUGAAAUUUUAUGGUAAUCUGGCAUAUAAUUUCCUCUUGGCCAAAUAAUCGAUCACGUGGACUGAAACUGCUUUCCAUAUGGCCAAAAUGUCGUCCGUUGUUAGCUGUACCUGUUCGGAUGUACGUCUCAUCUCACGCAGAAACACUACAGAGUUGGAGAUCCCGUUGCUUAACUGUUGCAGAAUGUGAGAACUCAACAAAUUCUAAGCUCAUGGCUGGCAUCAUGGCCACAGUGGUUUUGUUGCAGCCAGCUGGUGAAAGGUGUGAUCGAGUCAAGUUGAGCUGCAGCUGCUGCAUGCAGUUUAUCAAGUUGGUGUUAUCCUGAAGUGUCAUUGCAGGAAAACUUAUUUAAAUGGACUUGGUGAUACUUAACCUAUGCCUGUGCUGUUCAAUGUGCAGUGGUUUUGCAGCCUGUUUCCAGUUGAGAGAUGUGAUUAUGCAGCUGAUACAGGAUUGAAGAAAAAGAACUGAAGUAGCUGUGCUGGUGUUCUUCUGAAAUUGCUGUGCCAC
Molecule: long non-coding RNA, 969 nt
Organism: Daphnia pulicaria
Lineage: Eukaryota; Metazoa; Arthropoda; Branchiopoda; Diplostraca; Daphniidae
Exons: 4
Source: RefSeq, a predicted model, not a curated record